UAGCUGCAUCUCUCCCGAUCCCCUCUCUCUCCCUUCACGAUAGAUUUUCUUGGCUGCCGCCGACAACUCCGGUCUCCGCCUCCUGCCACCGCCAGUAUAUACUCCUUCCCAUGCGCUGCUCUGAUGCCCUGCUGCCGCUCUAGGCCCCAGUUCGAGGCUCCUCCUCUGCAGCCUCCGCCUCCUCCUCCCAAAUCUGGAUAUAUGCACCGACCAGCAGUGGAUCUCGGGGAGGGGCGUCGGUGCCGGUUCCGAUGUGGGCGAGGUCAAGGUGGGGAUGAUGGCAGCGACGGAGGACAUGUCGAGUACGCCCAACGGUGGUGGGGCAGGCGGGGCGACGGUGCUCUGGCCCGACACGGACGAGCUCGAGGCUUGCACGGCGGCGGCUGAGCGCGGGUCGAGCGCGACUGGCGCGAGCGAUCCCUGAUAGGGAUGGUGUUGGAUCGGGAUGGGGUUGGACAUCUGCGACCACAGAGGUACUUUACUACAGUUCAUAUGCGAAGUUGGCUAGAAGAGAGGGCUCACUUGCGGAAGGUUAUUAGUAACCUAAGGAGAAUAUUACAAUGAGACUGCAAACGACGCCGGUGGAUUGGUGUCUAUAGUUCCCUUGCCGCCUAUGAGCUGGAGGUCUCGAUGAUAAGUGCAACAUAUUGUGCAAAGGAAUGAAGAUGGUUUAUUUGAAUCCCAGGAAAUGCAGCCCACUGGUGCAUCAGUGCUUUGUUUAUCGCCAGUGGCCCCACCUGUAACAGAGUUGAUCGCUGGAUCGGCUGCGUUUGGAACCUAUGCCCGGGCAAACGUGGCGUCGUAUCUCUCUACAUUGCAGAAAGGGGAAAGAUUAGUGGUGCAGCCGGCGCAUGUGCGAUUAGGGCCGCGGCUGGCGUGUCACCGUGUGGCUGAGCGCGUCUGUGCGGGGUGCUCACCGACCCUCCAAACUCUCAUGCUUAUACGACUCAGGACAAGGGACGCCUUCGAGAUGGCUUUUUAGCCAGGACAAGGGUGAAAGGAUAACACUAACACCAACGCCAGCUACCUCUGCAGGCUAUGGAGGGGUGUGGCUGGGGCACACGACACGACGGUGGUGCUGGCCAGACGGCUUCGUGCGCAAUGGAAGGGUGCUACGCCAAGGAAUUCGAGGUGACCUGACAUGCCGGAGAAGGAUGUUGAUAGGUGGCAGCUCGGGCGAUGGCUAUGGCUUGGCAGAAAAUCCAACAGAUCAGGGUUAGCGUAGGACGACACGCUGCCAACACUCCCUCGCUUCCCCUCCACGUUUCCCCACCGCUCCCUCUUUUCCCGAUCUCAUAUGCUACAUUUGAGGAAAUUGGGUGGACAACACAAUCCAGAUGUUAAGCAAGCCAGUGGAUCGUCAAUAAGCUGGAGGAAUGGCUGCUGCCUACAACUCCGUGAGUGUCGGAUCAAUUACUCUCCGUCAGCAACAUUGUAGCAGCAUCAAAUUCUUUCAGUGCCGUUUGCCGCUGAAGAUCUGCAGCUGAACCGUUCCUGCUUGUGCUGGUUCCUUUGCCUUCUCUGCUUGUAUGCGGUUGGUUUAAUUUACAUGUACUGUUUGUACUUCGAUUUAAUUAUGUAAGUGUAUUUUUAAAUAUAUUUUUUGUAAAUUGCAUUAGCUGCAGGCUAUGUUAUCAA
Triticum dicoccoides is the source of this 1638-nucleotide long non-coding RNA. RefSeq lists it as uncharacterized. Lineage: Eukaryota; Viridiplantae; Streptophyta; Magnoliopsida; Poales; Poaceae. The transcript is spliced from 4 exons. The record is from RefSeq and is a predicted model, not a curated record.